CUCAGAUUGAACGCUGGCGGCAGGCCUAACACAUGCAAGUCGAACGGCAGCACAGAAGAGCUUGCUCUUUGGGUGGCGAGUGGCGGACGGGUGAGUAACACGUAGGAAUCUACCAGUAGUGGGGAUAACCUGGGGAAACCCAGGCUAAUACCGCAUACGCCUGAGGGGAAAGCGGGGGAUCUUCGGACCUCGCGCUAUUGGAUGAGCCUGCGUCGGAUUAGCUAGUUGGUGGGGUAAGGGCUCACCAAGGCGACGAUCCGUAGCUGGUCUGAGAGGAUGACCAGUCACACCGGAACUGAGACACGGUCCGGACUCCUACGGGAGGCAGCAGUGGGGAAUAUUGGACAAUGGGCGCAAGCCUGAUCCAGCCAUGCCGCGUGGGUGAAGAAGGCCUUCGGGUUGUAAAGCCCUUUAGGUGGGGAGGAAGGCAUUCAUGCUAAUACCAUGGAUGAUUGACGUUACCCA
RNAcentral lists this ribosomal RNA (465 nucleotides) under uncultured bacterium. Its description in RNAcentral is "bacterial SSU rRNA". It matches the Rfam family "Bacterial small subunit ribosomal RNA", at positions 23 to 481 of the family's 1533-position model. The record is from RNAcentral.